RNAcentral lists this long non-coding RNA (404 nucleotides) under Mus pahari (shrew mouse). RNAcentral's name for it is "lncRNA (MGP_PahariEiJ_G0004641.1)". The record is from RNAcentral. Lineage: Eukaryota; Metazoa; Chordata; Mammalia; Rodentia; Muridae.
AGAGGAGACCGGAUACUUCAGAGGGUUCAGAAUGGCUAUAGGAGAAGCUGUUAACAAGAGUAUUUAUGUGUGGAGUUACUGAUUGUAAUCAUGGUAACAGGAGAAGUGACAUUUGAAGGCCUACUGUGUACUGAACUCAGAACAAAGGGAGUUAUCUAUAUAACUUCAGCACAUCUUCUCAGCAACCUGAUGAGGUUGACUUUCAACUCUGUGUAGCCUGCAGUAAAGCAGCCUGGCAGAACUAAGAGAGGCCCUGCCUCAACAGGUGGAAGGAGAACUGAGUCCCUAGAGGUGUCAUCUGACCUGCACAGAUGUGCCCUGGCAUGUUUAUGUCUGCACUUACACACACACACACACACACACACACACACACACACACACCAAUAAUAAAAACUACUACUAAU